This 497-nucleotide ribosomal RNA is filed under the name uncultured bacterium. RNAcentral's name for it is "partial 16S ribosomal RNA". It matches the Rfam family "Bacterial small subunit ribosomal RNA", at positions 28 to 507 of the family's 1533-position model. The record is from RNAcentral.
GACGAACGCUGGCGGCGUGCCUAAUACAUGCAAGUUGAGCGCUGAAGGUUGGUACUUGUACCAACUGGAUGAGCAGCGAACGGGUGAGUAACGCGUGGGGAAUCUGCCUUUGAGCAGGGGACAACAUUUGGAAACGAAUGCUAAUACCGCAUAAAAACUUUAAACACAAGUUUUAAGUUUGAAAGAUGCAAUUGCAUCACUCAAAGAUGAUCCCGCGUUGCAUUAGCUAGUUGGUGAGGUAAAGGCUCACCAAGGCGAUGAUACAUAGCCGACCUGAGAGGGUGAUCGGCCACAUUGGGACUGAGACACGGCCCAAACUCCUACGGGAGGCAGCAGUAGGGAAUCUUCGGCAAUGGACGAAAGUCUGACCGAGCAACGCCGCGUGAGUGAAGAAGGUUUUCGGAUCGUAAAACUCUGUUGGUAGAGAAGAACGUUGGUGAGAGUGGAAAGCUCACCAAGUGACGGUAACUACCCAGAAAGGGACGGCUAACUACGUG